UGACUCUCUUAAGGUAGCCAAAU
Molecule: non-coding RNA, 23 nt
Filed under: Arabidopsis thaliana (thale cress)
Lineage: Eukaryota; Viridiplantae; Streptophyta; Magnoliopsida; Brassicales; Brassicaceae
Also listed under: 3 other names
Source: RNAcentral